CAGCCGCCGCGGUAAUACAGAGGGUGCGAGCGUUAAUCGGAUUUACUGGGCGUAAAGCGUGCGUAGGCGGCUUUUUAAGUCGGAUGUGAAAUCCCUGAGCUUAACUUAGGAAUUGCAUUCGAUACUGGGAAGCUAGAGUAUGGGAGAGGAUGGUAGAAUUCCAGGUGUAGCGGUGAAAUGCGUAGAGAUCUGGAGGAAUACCGAUGGCGAAGGCAGCCAUCUGGCCUAAUACUGACGCUGAGGUACGAAAGCAUGGGGAGCAAACAGGAUUAGAGACCCCGGUAGUCCCUGUCUCUUAUAA
RNAcentral lists this ribosomal RNA (301 nucleotides) under uncultured bacterium. Its description in RNAcentral is "partial 16S ribosomal RNA". It matches the Rfam family "Bacterial small subunit ribosomal RNA", at positions 509 to 809 of the family's 1533-position model. The record is from RNAcentral.